CGGAGGGUCCAAGCGUUAUCCGGAAUCAUUGGGUUUAAAGGGUCCGUAGGCGGUUUUGUAAGUCAGUGGUGAAAGCCCAUCGCUCAACGGUGGAACGGCUAUUGAUACUGCAAGACUUGAAUUAUUAGGAAGUAACUAGAAUAUGUAGUGUAGCGGUGAAAUGCUUAGAGAUUACAUGGAAUACCAAUUGCGAAGGCAGGUUACUACUAAUGGAUUGACGCUGAUGGACGAAAGCGUGGGGAGCGAACAGGAUUAGAUACCCUGGUAGUCCACGCCGUAAACGAUGGAUACUAGCUGUUCGGAGCAAUCUGAGUGGCUAAGCGUAAGUGAUAAGUAUCCCACCUGGGGAGUACGUUCGCAAGAAUG
Molecule: ribosomal RNA, 366 nt
Filed under: uncultured organism
Description: bacterial SSU rRNA
Rfam family: Bacterial small subunit ribosomal RNA
Source: RNAcentral